GAUGAAGAACGUAGCGAAAUGCGAUAAGUAAUGCGAAUUGCAGAAUUCAGUGAGUCAUCGAAUCUUUGAACGCACAUUGCGCCCUGUGGUAUUCCGCAGGGCAUGCCUGUUCGAGCGUCAUUUAAACCUUCAAGCUCAGCUUGGUGUUGGGUGACUGUCCGCUUCACCGCGGACUCGCCUCAAAAUUAUUGGCGGCCGGUACAUUGGCUUCGAGCGCAGCAGAAACGCGAACUCGGGCCCGUCGUAUUGGCUCCCAGAAGCUAUCUUCACAAUUUUGACCUCGGAUCAGGUAGGGAUACCCGCUGAACUUAAGCAUAUCAAUAAGCGGAGGA
RNAcentral lists this unclassified non-coding RNA (332 nucleotides) under soil metagenome. RNAcentral's name for it is "partial contains 5.8S ribosomal RNA, internal transcribed spacer 2, and large subunit ribosomal RNA". The stretch from base 1 to 120 matches the Rfam family "5.8S ribosomal RNA", at positions 35 to 154 of the family's 154-position model. The record is from RNAcentral.